This 257-nucleotide ribosomal RNA is filed under the name Bacillus cereus. RNAcentral's name for it is "partial 23S ribosomal RNA". It matches the Rfam family "Bacterial large subunit ribosomal RNA", at positions 1427 to 1679 of the family's 2925-position model. RNAcentral also lists the same sequence under 1 other name. The record is from RNAcentral. Lineage: Bacteria; Bacillati; Bacillota; Bacilli; Caryophanales; Bacillaceae.
AGGUUGAUAUUCCUGUACCACCUCUUUAUCGUUUGAGCAAUGGAGGGACGCAGAAGGAUAGAAGAAGCGUGCGAUUGGUUGUGCACGUCCAAGCAGUUAGGCUGAUAAGUAGGCAAAUCCGCUUAUCGUGAAGGCUGAGCUGUGAUGGGGAAGCUCCUUAUGGAGCGAAGUCUUUGAUUCCCCGCUGCCAAGAAAAGCUUCUAGCGAGAUAAAAGGUGCCUGUACCGCAAACCGACACAGGUAGGCGAGGAGAGAAU